RNAcentral lists this unclassified non-coding RNA (347 nucleotides) under soil metagenome. Its description in RNAcentral is "partial contains 5.8S ribosomal RNA, internal transcribed spacer 2, and large subunit ribosomal RNA". The stretch from base 1 to 120 matches the Rfam family "5.8S ribosomal RNA", at positions 35 to 154 of the family's 154-position model. The record is from RNAcentral.
GAUGAAGAACGCAGCGAAAUGCGAUAAUUAAUGUGAAUUGCAGAAUUCAGUGAAUCAUCGAGUCUUUGAACGCACAUUGCGCCCCCUGGUAUUCCGGGGGGCAUGCCUGUCCGAGCGUCAUUGCUGCCCUCAAGCACGGCUUGUGUGUUGGGCUUCCGUCCCUGGUAACGGGGACGGGCCCAAAAGGCAGUGGCGGCACCAUGUCUGGUCCUCGAGCGUAUGGGGCUUUGUCACCCGCUCCCGUAGGUCCAGCUGGCAGCUAGCCUCGCAACCAAUCUUUUUAACCAGGUUGACCUCGGAUCAGGUAGGGAUACCCGCUGAACUUAAGCAUAUCAAUAAGCGGAGGA